Telopea speciosissima is the source of this 202-nucleotide long non-coding RNA. RefSeq lists it as uncharacterized. The record is from RefSeq and is a predicted model, not a curated record. Lineage: Eukaryota; Viridiplantae; Streptophyta; Magnoliopsida; Proteales; Proteaceae. The transcript is spliced from 3 exons.
AAUUCAGAUGAGUGCAGCUGCACAAGCUUCUCCUCUUGACUUGGCCAUGUGUCUACUCGGCUAGAAGGGUGAUGAUGAUGGUGAGGAUAUUGUGGGUAUCAAAGAUGCAUUUGCGUCCAUGAAUUUCUGCACAACUAGUGCAUACAGAAUCUCUUCCAAGGCCUUUCUUCUCUCAUUAGUCUUGAGCUCAGCUAUUAUCCUA